AGGUGACGCCUUUCAGGCAUCCUCUCCCAAACUUUCAAAGGGUCGGCGCAAGCCGGCCCAUUUUUUUUGUCUCG
RNAcentral lists this small RNA (74 nucleotides) under Novosphingobium sp. B1. RNAcentral's name for it is "suhB". It matches the Rfam family "Makes More Granules Regulator RNA (mmgR)". From Rfam's summary of the family: SuhB later renamed mmgR (makes more granules regulator) was a putative non-coding RNA found multiple times in the Agrobacterium tumefaciens genome and related alpha-proteobacteria. The record is from RNAcentral. Lineage: Bacteria; Pseudomonadati; Pseudomonadota; Alphaproteobacteria; Sphingomonadales; Sphingomonadaceae.